Gymnodraco acuticeps is the source of this 1092-nucleotide long non-coding RNA. RefSeq lists it as uncharacterized. The record is from RefSeq and is a predicted model, not a curated record. Lineage: Eukaryota; Metazoa; Chordata; Actinopteri; Perciformes; Bathydraconidae. The transcript is spliced from 6 exons.
CUAUCGUUCCAGGGGUUGAGCCCUGAGAGGUUAGCUUUAGAAACGUACUUCCUUGCUGCUUAGAAUCCACGCGCACUAGUAAGUCAGAUACACGAUCAGCUACUCAAAGGAAAAAACACAACAAAUCUAAUAAAACAAAUGAGCCUGGAUACAAACGAAGGCCUGACUUCUAACUACCAUGAAGCCCUCACUAUACUGCCAGAUGAUGCUCCCCGUCGAUAUGAAACGGGAACACAAGGAUAUUCAUUUAAGUAGCCCGUCCUAGCUGGAAAUGGAGUGACGAUGUGGAGUAUCUGGAGCUUCCCCCUGAAACAGAUCGCUCUUCAUGGCUACAGGCUAUGGGAGCCUUCAAGGACGUGGUUAAGCAGCAUGUUUGAGCUAUUGUCAACAUAAGGAACCGGACGGGUCCAAACGGCAGAAGUUCCCCCCCGAUAAUGGGUGGAAGAAAUCCACCCGGAGAGCUGGUGAGGAUGCUGUGCCUGCUUUGAUCCCAUUGCCUUUCAUCCUGACCCACAUCCUGCCUCCGUGAUGCAGUAUCACAGAUUUAGUUUGGAGACUUUACUCCAGCAUGCAGGUUUUUGCCCAGGUUGGAGAAGAGCAGCAUGUCAGAAGUGAUGAUCAACAACAUGAUCGGUGCUGCAUGUCAUUCACAGCCUCCACAGUGAAGACUCCGGGACACCUCAGGCAGCUCUGCAGCAACACAGGGGGAGCCGGUUUACUAAGUUAAUCUUCAAAUACAUGUGGGCUUCGCUGUCAAGUUCCCGACACGUACUGUAAUAAUUCUGCACAUCUCUAUCGUUAUUUAUUUCAGCCCUCUUCAUACCUUCCAACAUUUUUCUUUUUUGUGUACAUCCCAGUAAUUGCUUUUACAGCGGCUGCAGACGUGUCUGGAUUCCUCUGAAGGGAUUACAGUUUCUGUGAUUGCCUUGCAUCAUCAGUGGCUCAUUUUAAAUAUCUGCGUGUUUCCUGUAGUUCUGUCAGGCAGCAGUGGGUCUAUGCUUGCUAAUGUGUGUGUAUGGUCUCAGUUGGAGCUUAUUGCUUGAUAUGAAUUUCAAAUAAUUGUAAUAAAAUAUGUAUGAAUUAAAAAAAAAA